This 253-nucleotide ribosomal RNA is filed under the name uncultured bacterium. RNAcentral describes it as "partial 16S ribosomal RNA". It matches the Rfam family "Bacterial small subunit ribosomal RNA", at positions 524 to 776 of the family's 1533-position model. The record is from RNAcentral.
UACGGAGGGGGCGAGCGUUAUUCGGAAUUAUUGGGCGUAAAGGGCGCGUAGGCGGCCCGGUAAGUCAAAGGUGAAAUCCCUCGGCUCAACUGAGGAACUGCCUUUGAAACUGUCGGGCUUGAGGCCGGGAGGGGGUAGCGGAAUUCCCAGUGUAGCGGUGAAAUGCGUAGAUAUUGGGAGGAACACCGGUGGCGAAGGCGGCUACCUGGACCGGUUCUGACGCUGAUGCGCGAAGGCCAGGGGAGCAAACGGG